This 256-nucleotide ribosomal RNA is filed under the name uncultured bacterium. Its description in RNAcentral is "partial 16S ribosomal RNA". It matches the Rfam family "Bacterial small subunit ribosomal RNA", at positions 524 to 777 of the family's 1533-position model. The record is from RNAcentral.
UACAGAGGGUGCGAGCGUUGUCCGGAAUCACUGGGCGUAAAGGGCGCGUAGGCGGUGGCUUAAGCGUGCGGUGAAAGCUCGGGGCUCAACCCCGAGUCGGCCGUGCGAACUGGGCUCACUGGAGCAUAGUAGAGGCAGGUGGAAUUCCGGGUGUAGCGGUGGAAUGCGUAGAGAUCCGGAAGAACACCGGUGGCGAAGGCGGCCUGCUGGGCUAUGGCUGACACUGAGGCGCGGACAGCGUGGGGAGCAAACAGGG